UUAGUAACAAUAAAACUUUAAUGCUUUAAUGUUUUUUUUUAAAUUACACUGCCUGUGCCAAGUGGAAAAAAAACAGCAGUGAAGGAUGAAGUAAUGUUUACUAAAUCUCUGUCCUCCCCUCUGUGGUUUCCCAUCAUCCUGUGCAGGUCUUUGACCUUUUUUAACUUUGAAUGCCCUGCAGUGAUGCAACGCUCUGACAUACCAAUCUGCCAACACCUCUCCUACACACAGCAAUCCUGUGAGGCCCUUUUGUGAAACACACACACACACACACACACACACACACACACACACACACACACACACACACACACACACACACACACACACACUGAAGCCCUGCUGUUAUUGCUCAUGUGACUUAUUCGUAAAACAUGGUCACACUGCAAAUGAGCUACCAAUCAAUAUACGGUGAAAACAUCGGGCGAGAGACAUAGAGUUAUAGUGUAAGAGAGAGAGACAAUGAGGAAAAGCAGAAGUAAGGAGAAAACGAAAUGACAACAUCACUGUUUGGCUUUCAUGUGACGAGCGAGGACAGAGAGGGCCUGUAACGUAAAGGUCGGGAUGAGACAGACACACUCGAUGAUGUCGAGAUCAGGGCUCCGUAGGGGCCGUGCCGUCGCUUCGUGCCGGUUCGAAGGCAAAAGCUAGAGAGUGUCAUCAGAGAGUGUCAGGCGUCAUCGGGCAUCGAGGCAGGACACACCCUGGACGGAGUGCCAACCCAUCGCAGGACACACACACACACUCUCAUUCACUCACACACACUCACACACUACGGACAAUUUUCCAGAGA
This is a long non-coding RNA of Tachysurus fulvidraco (yellow catfish), 793 nucleotides long. RefSeq lists it as uncharacterized. The transcript is spliced from 3 exons. NCBI's taxonomy places the organism in Eukaryota, Metazoa, Chordata, Actinopteri, Siluriformes, Bagridae. The record is from RefSeq and is a predicted model, not a curated record.